This 254-nucleotide ribosomal RNA is filed under the name uncultured bacterium. Its description in RNAcentral is "partial 16S ribosomal RNA". It matches the Rfam family "Bacterial small subunit ribosomal RNA", at positions 524 to 776 of the family's 1533-position model. The record is from RNAcentral.
UACGUAGGGGGCAAGCGUUGUCCGGAUUUAUUGGGCGUAAAGAGCUCGUAGGUGGUUCGGUAAGUCGGAUGUGGAAUCUCCAGGCUCAACCUGGAGGGGUCAUUCGAUACUGCCGUGACUAGAGGUCGGUAGGGGAGUGUGGAAUUCCUGGUGGAGCGGUGAAAUGCGCAGAUAUCAGGAGGAACACCCGUAGCGAAGGCGGCACUCUGGGCCGAUACUGACACUGAGGAGCGAAAGCGUGGGGAGCGAACAGG